CUGGAGGUAUCAGAAGUGCGAAUGCUGACAUAAGUAACGAUAAAGCGGGUGAAAAGCCCGCUCGCCGGAAGACCAAGGGUUCCUGUCCAACGUUAAUCGGGGCAGGGUGAGUCGACCCCUAAGGCGAGGCCGAAAGGCGUAGUCGAUGGGAAACGGGUUAAUAUUCCCGUACUUGGUGUUACUGCGAAGGGGGGACGGAGAAGGCUAUGUUGGCCGGGCGACGGUUGUCCCGGUUUAAGCGUGUAGGUGUGUGUUCCAGGUAAAUCCGGUUCACUUUAACACUGAGGCGUGACGACGAGGCACUACGGUGCUGAAGCAACAAAUGCCCUGCUUCCAGGAAAAGCCUCUAAGCAUCAGGUAACAUCAAAUCGUACCCCAAACCGACACAGGUGGUCAGGUAGAGAAUACCAAGGCGCUUGAGAGAACUCGGGUGAAGGAACUAGGCAAAAUGGUGCCGUAACUUCGGGAGAAGGCACGCUGACACGUAGGUGAAGUGAUUUACUCACGGAGCUGAAGUCAGUCGAAGAUACCAGCUGGCUGCAACUGUUUAUUAAAAACACAGCACUGUGCAAACACGAAAGUGGACGUAUACGGUGUGACGCCUGCCCGGUGCCGGAAGGUUAAUUGAUGGGGUCAGCGCAAGCGAAGCUCCUGAUCGAAGCCCCGGUAAACGGCGGCCGUAACUAUAACGGUCCUAAGGUAGCGAAAUUCCUUGUCGGGUAAGUUCCGACCUGCACGAAUGGCGUAAUGAUGGCCAGGCUGUCUCCACCCGAGACUCAGUGAAAUUGAACUCGCUGUGAAGAUGCAGUGUACCCGCGGCAAGACGGAAAGACCCCGUGAACCUUUACUAUAGCUUGACACUGAACAUUGAGCCUUGAUGUGUAGGAUAGGUGGGAGGCUUUGAAGUGUGGACGCCAGUCUGCAUGGAGCCGACCUUGAAAUACCACCCUUUAAUGUUUGAUGUUCUAACGUGGACCCGUGAUCCGGGUUGCGGACAGUGUCUGGUGGGUAGUUUGACUGGGGCGGUCUCCUCCUAAAGAGUAACGGAGGAGCACGAAGGUUGGCUAAUCCUGGUCGGACAUCAGGAG
This 1088-nucleotide ribosomal RNA is filed under the name Salmonella enterica. RNAcentral's name for it is "partial 23S ribosomal RNA". It matches the Rfam family "Bacterial large subunit ribosomal RNA", at positions 1273 to 2344 of the family's 2925-position model. The record is from RNAcentral. Lineage: Bacteria; Pseudomonadati; Pseudomonadota; Gammaproteobacteria; Enterobacterales; Enterobacteriaceae.